Molecule: ribosomal RNA, 506 nt
Filed under: uncultured bacterium
Lineage: Bacteria
Description: bacterial SSU rRNA
Rfam family: Bacterial small subunit ribosomal RNA
Source: RNAcentral
GGGUAACGGCCCACCAAGACAACGAUGGAUAGGGGUUCUGAGAGGAAGGUCCCCCACAUUGGAACUGAGACACGGUCCAAACUCCUACGGGAGGCAGCAGUGAGGAAUAUUGGUCAAUGGACGAGAGUCUGAACCAGCCAAGUAGCGUGAAGGAUGACUGCCCUAUGGGUUGUAAACUUCUUUUAUAUGGGAAUAAAAUGUUCCACGUGUGGGAUUUAAAAAAAACCAUAUGAAUAAGGAUCGGCUAACUCCGUGCCAGCAGCCGCGGUAAUACGGAGGAUCCGAGCGUUAUCCGGAUUUAUUGGGUUUAAAGGGAGCGUAGGUGGAUUGUUAAGUCAGUUGUGAAAGUUUGCGGCUCAACCGUAAAAUUGCAGUUGAAACUGGCAGUCUUGAGUACAGUAGAGGUGGGCGGAAUUCGUGGUGUAGCGGUGAAAUGCUUAGUUAUCAAGAAGAACUCCGAUUGCGAAGGCAGCUCACUGGACUGCAACUGACACUGAGGCUCGAAA